GGAUCAUGAUGACUUAAAAAUGGAUCUCGGAAUCUGAGCAAAACGAGUGACCAAACCACUUCUGUGCCAGUUCUGUGAACUGAGGUCC
This is a small nucleolar RNA of Cercocebus atys (sooty mangabey), 88 nucleotides long. Its record names the gene SNORD116. It matches the Rfam family "Small nucleolar RNA SNORD116". From Rfam's summary of the family: HBII-85 is a member of the C/D class of snoRNAs, which contain the C (UGAUGA) and D (CUGA) box motifs. HBII-85 is encoded in a tandemly repeated array with another C/D snoRNA, HBII-52, in the Prader-Willi syndrome (PWS) region of chromosome 15. The record is from Ensembl. Lineage: Eukaryota; Metazoa; Chordata; Mammalia; Primates; Cercopithecidae.